AUGCUCGUCACCCAGGUGACAGAGCAGAAGGCAAAGCGGGCCACAGGCCAAGGCGACAGCGAACCGUGCUCAGGUGCGCGCGCUAGGGGGCAGCGGAGCGAAGACCCAGGCCUCGCGGCCCCAGAACCAACCCGGACCCGGCGGCUGCGUCCGCGUGGUCGCCAGGGGGCAGAAGUGUUAGGCAACCUGAACCCACCCUCCGCACUCGGCCAGAGGCUCCAGCGCCUGGCAGGACGUUUCAGAAGUCAUUUGUUCCAUCCCUCCGCGAAGCCAGACAGAUUGACCGGCCCCCAACACCGCAGAGGGGAAAUUGAGUCACCGGGAGGAGCGGCCAGAGUCGCCGGGGGAAGGAGGGCGGACGCCAGCCCUCGGGGCCUUCCAGAUGCCGGGAGAGGGAGGGUUCUCCUGGAAAACACAGGGGGAGGGGAGGCGGCUGGCUGGGCAGGAGCUGCGCCAGACACAUGGAGAAACGCUGCCCAGGAUCAAAGGAAAUAUGACAUUUGAAA
Molecule: long non-coding RNA, 506 nt
Filed under: Chinchilla lanigera (long-tailed chinchilla)
Lineage: Eukaryota; Metazoa; Chordata; Mammalia; Rodentia; Chinchillidae
Description: lncRNA (ENSCLAG00000023266.1)
Source: RNAcentral